RNAcentral lists this ribosomal RNA (491 nucleotides) under uncultured bacterium. RNAcentral describes it as "partial 16S ribosomal RNA". It matches the Rfam family "Bacterial small subunit ribosomal RNA", at positions 28 to 507 of the family's 1533-position model. The record is from RNAcentral.
GAUGAACGCUGGCUACAGGCUUAACACAUGCAAGUCGAGGGGAAACGACGGGGAAGCUUGCUUCCCCGGGCGUCGACCGGCGCACGGGUGAGUAACGCGUAUCCAACCUGCCUCUGACUGAGGGAUAACCCGUCGAAAGUCGGCCUAAUACCUCAUGGCAUCGUCUGCGGGCAUCCAACGACGAUUAAAGAUUUCAUCGGUCAGAGAUGGGGAUGCGUCUGAUUGGCUUGUUGGCGGGGUAACGGCCCACCAAGGCGACGAUCAGUAGGGGUUCUGAGAGGAAGGUCCCCCACAUUGGAACUGAGACACGGUCCAAACUCCUACGGGAGGCAGCAGUGAGGAAUAUUGGUCAAUGGGCGAGAGCCUGAACCAGCCAAGUAGCGUGCAGGAUGACGGCCCUAUGGGUUGUAAACUGCUUUUAUGCGGGGAUAAAGUGAGGGACGUGUCCUUCAUUGCAGGUACCGCAUGAAUAAGGACCGGCUAAUUCCGUG